UACGUAGGGUGCAGGCGUUAAUCGGAAUUACUGGGCGUAAAGCGUGCGUAGGUGGUUUGUUAAGUCUGAUGUGAAAGCCCUGGGCUCAACCUGGGAAUUGCAUUGGAUACUGGCAGGCUAGAGUGCGGUAGAGGGUAGUGGAAUUCCCGGUGUAGCAGUGAAAUGCGUAGAGAUCGGGAGGAACACCAGUGGCGAAGGCGACUACCUGGACCAGCACUGACACUGAGGCACGAAAGCGUGGGGAGCAAACAGG
This 253-nucleotide ribosomal RNA is filed under the name uncultured bacterium. Its description in RNAcentral is "partial 16S ribosomal RNA". It matches the Rfam family "Bacterial small subunit ribosomal RNA", at positions 524 to 776 of the family's 1533-position model. The record is from RNAcentral.